GAGUUUGAUCCUGGCUCAGGAUGAACGCUAGCGAUAGGCUUAACACAUGCAAGUCGAGGGGCAGCAUAAGAUCAGCUUGCUGAUUUUGAUGGCGACCGGCGCACGGGUGCGUAACGCGUAUGCAACCUGCCCACAACAAGGGGAUAACCCGGUGAAAGUCGGACUAAUACCCUAUAAUCAUCUUCGGUUACAUGACUGGGGAUGUAAAGAUUUAUCGGUUGUGGAUGGGCAUGCGUUCCAUUAGCUUGUUGGUAAGGUAACGGCUUACCAAGGCAACGAUGGAUAGGGGGACUGAGAGGUUGACCCCCCACACUGGUACUGAGACACGGACCAGACUCCUACGGGAGGCAGCAGUGAGGAAUAUUGGUCAAUGGGCGAAAGCCUGAACCAGCCAAGUCGCGUGAAGGAAGACGGUUCUAUGGAUUGUAAACUUCUUUUGUAGAGGAAUAAUGGCGGUUACGAGUAACCGAGAUGCAUGUACUCUACGAAUAA
This 492-nucleotide ribosomal RNA is filed under the name Porphyromonas sp. canine oral taxon 181. RNAcentral describes it as "bacterial SSU rRNA". It matches the Rfam family "Bacterial small subunit ribosomal RNA", at positions 9 to 489 of the family's 1533-position model. Lineage: Bacteria; Pseudomonadati; Bacteroidota; Bacteroidia; Bacteroidales; Porphyromonadaceae. The record is from RNAcentral.